Molecule: non-coding RNA, 1882 nt
Organism: Microcebus murinus (gray mouse lemur)
Lineage: Eukaryota; Metazoa; Chordata; Mammalia; Primates; Cheirogaleidae
Source: RefSeq, a predicted model, not a curated record
GACGGAGACACGAUGAUGCAGGGACCCGAGGGCGAAGCCUCUAGAAGGCGGCGGGAAGCGCUGGCCCUCCCUGCAGCCCAGGCUGUCGUGGGAGGCGCGUGGGGGCAGGGCACCUGUGUCAGCGGCCCCUGAAACAGGAGGGCGGAUGAAAGCAAUCAAUGCGUGUAAGGCCCCGGCUCCGUACUGGCCCGUGGAAGGCUCCCGAGCAGAGCCUGCUCCCUCCAUCUGCUGCCUGGGAGGCCUGUGGAGGAGGCGUCUCACCAGGAGCCCGCAGAUGGCUCACGUCCUGGGGCCUCCCGUUGGCAGGAUGAGCCUGACACGCCUGCGACGCCCACCCUCUCCCACCCUCCCUGCUUAUUCCGGGGCUCUCUCUCCUCCCUCCCCCUUCCCCACCCGCAGGGCACCCCCACACACACACCAGUCACUGUCUGGGGCCACGAGGGGCCCCAGCUCCCCCAAGGGCAGCGCUGGCGGGGUCUGGUCGGGCUUCCGAGUGGCUGGCGUCUCCCUGUGCGGCUGUUACAAAGCUGGCAGAUUGCCGGCGGCCAGAAAGGCCGGGUGGCCGGGCCUGCAGGCAGAGGGACAGAGCCAAAGGAACAAAGAAAUCAAAACACGCCGAUAGUCUUUAAUUAAACCAAGUCUGAAGGCCCACCAUGAGAAGGACCACACUGGCUGUCCGAAAAUCCGAGUGGCAUCGCGGGUAAUCGCGGUCCCAGAGAAGAGAACGCAGGCUUCUGAGAAUCCCAGAGCCACCCCAGAGCCAUCUCCGAGUCACAGAAUCUUAGAGAAACACCCUUUGACGGUGCUAGGGCCGCCGAAAUCCUUCAAAUCACAGAGCCUCAGAUCCCCAAAGGGUAAAAGGCAGUGUGGUCUAACGGUUUAAAAAAGGGACUGGAUUCAAAUCCUGUCUUCGUCAUAGCUUAGCUGUGUGACCUUGGGCGAGUAACUGACCUUCUCUGUGUUUCAGUUUUCCUUACCAUAAAAUCAGAGUAGGGCUGUUGUGAGAAUUCUGUGAAUGCUGUUUCCUCAUGCCCUUAAGCCAAUAUAUCUUAGAAGCAGAGUCUUCCAGGGGUCUUGACUCGAACUACUUGUUGCAUCUCUUAUAGAGCAUUCCCAGCAGAUUCCUGUCACCUCUGAAGCAGAGUUCACAAAACAGCCAGUUCCACUUGUAUUACUGAGUAGCUCUGAUUGAGCGCGGCUGUCCUCCUAGGGGCGUGCACCCAUCCUGGGACCAGCUGUGCCCUGCAUUUUUGCUCCCUCACUCCCGCAGGGCAGAUGUGCAUGAGUGAAACGGAUCUUCAGUGCUGGCAAGCUGCGCGGGGAAGGGCUCCGAGCUCCAGCCAAGUCUUGCCGACGGGGCUAUUACACCGCGCAGGGAGGCCUUCCAUGCCAGACACGAGCAGAGCCUCUUGGCUUGAACUGCACACCGCCCAGGAGCCGAAUCCCAACUGGUUUAAGGCGAUCGUGGCAGUAUCUGUCUUUAGCCCUUCACUGGUCUGGAGUGGGCACAUGGUCCAGUUCAGAGUGAUAACAAUAUAAAGAACACACUCCAGAGGGGGUGUGGGGAGUGGCAGUGCGAUUCAAGAUGAAGAUUUUCAUCCCUGAUGGAAGGGAAAGCCAAGUGAAGAGAAGGCUCCUUUGCUCCCAUCCUCCCUCCCUAUUUUGAACACUGUGUGAGCACGUGGUGCCUGGAGCUGUAGCAGCUAUUUUGUGACCAUGAGGCGUCAAGCUUGAGCAUAAGCACCAACAUGCUGAGGGUGGCCAGAGUGGAAGGGUUAAAAGAACCAGGGUGAUGAUGACAUUGUUACGCUGCAGAAUCAACAUUAGGACAAGCUACAUCGCAUAUAUUGCUAAGUGAACAAUAGAUAUCCUUAUAGGUCAA